This 1578-nucleotide unclassified non-coding RNA is filed under the name Hevea brasiliensis (rubber tree). The record is from RNAcentral. Lineage: Eukaryota; Viridiplantae; Streptophyta; Magnoliopsida; Malpighiales; Euphorbiaceae.
UUUUUUUUUUUUUUUUUUUUAUCGAUAGGUACAUGGGGGGAGGGGGAUUGAACCGUGGACAUGGCCCAGGUUCAUUGUGCCCUUGCCACUGGACCAAAGCCAGGCGGACAACUACAGAAUAUUGAUCACUCUUUUUAACAACUUGAAUUUUUUUCCAGAAACAAGUGAAAACAAAAAAACAAUAAAUGAAAGGACCACUAGCACUCCACCCCACAUUGUUUAAGAAUAGGGCCAGUUUGCUUGGGCAAGAAAGGAUCAAUUCUGACCCAAACCAGUGAGAAAAUUGAUGCAAGAAGGACAGACCACAGGACUACAAUGGUAGGAGUUCUGUUUUGCCUUCCCAUUAGACCUUUGAGGAAAGGAUACAAAUGAGCAAUGACCCAGAAAGCAAAAAAUAGCUUCCCAAAUAAGGGACCCCAUGAGCCAUAUCCAUUGUUGAUUGCAUCAGAUACUCCAGCCACAACUCCCACCAUAUUUAUGAUAAUUAGAGUAGUUGGUGGGAUGAGAAGGGUGGUCCAUUUGAAGAGGUAGAGCUCUCCAAACUCUGUAUCAUCUGCUGCUUUUGCUGUGACAGUGAAGUUUGUGUCCACUCCACCCAGGACCUUUAGGAGGCCUUGGAACACAGCAAAAAGAUGUGCUGAGACACCACCUAUCACCCAGAAUUGCUCGUUACGCCACAAGUCCUCGAUGCUCACUGUACUCCAACGAAGCUCUAGGACACUUGUUGCUAUAAUGGAGAGGAAAAGUGCCAAGAACCAUACACUAGCCAGGUUGGUUAGCUGCAAGAGAGAAAUUUCUUGUUAAACCGUUGAAAACCUUGGCAAUUUACAUUUUCAAGAAAUUCAAGCAUGCUCAUACUUCGCAAACUAUUUCUUACAGUUUCACUGGAAAUAAUUCAUUCCUACAACUAUUUCUGCAAUGGGGCUCAGGAUUACUCACUGUAGGGAUGAUGAAUUUUCCGGUCAGAAGGCAUACAGCAGGAAUAGUACAGUAGGCAAGUAAAGGGAUGGAAGUGAAGGGAUAAACAAUGGUGUUAACGUAGGCAAGCCUCUCCAGCCAUUUCAACUUUCCUCCAUAUCCAUACCAUAGUGGGCAGUGGCGACUCAGGAAAAUUUCAACAGAGCCUAAAGCCCAUCGCAGAACCUGGUGCAACCGAUCUGAUAGAUUAAUGGGAGCUGAUCCCUUAAAAGCUGCUCUCUCUGGACUACAGUAAAUUGACUUCCAUCCUCUGCAAUGCAUCUUGAAUCCUGUCAAGAUAUCCUCUGUAACAGAGCCAUAAAUCCAUCCAACCUCUUUGCCCCAUUCGGUUUUCUCUUCAUAACCACAACUAAUAACAUGAAUGGCUUCUUUAAUGAGUGUUGAAGGAUUAGUUCCUUCAGGCAGGCCACCUUCUUCCAUGAGAGUGGAGGCAAUAAAUACUGGAGAUUGACCAAAUCGUUUCUCAAAAUUUUUCUGUGACAUUAGUGAUGAUUUCUCUAACUCUUCAUAACCUUCAAGCCCUUCUUCAAUCUCUUCAAGUUCAAAGACUGAUCCAGACCCUUUCCUUUUGUAGUUCUUACCCAUCAUUUUCUUUUUCCU